This 484-nucleotide ribosomal RNA is filed under the name uncultured bacterium. RNAcentral's name for it is "partial 16S ribosomal RNA". It matches the Rfam family "Bacterial small subunit ribosomal RNA", at positions 30 to 507 of the family's 1533-position model. The record is from RNAcentral.
AUUGAACGCUGGCGGCAGGCCUAACACAUGCAAGUCGAGCGGAUGAAGGGAGCUUGCUCCUGGAUUCAGCGGCGGACGGGUGAGUAAUGCCUAGGAAACUGCCUGGUAGUGGGGGAUAACGUCCGGAAACGGGCGCUAAUACAGCAUACGUCAUGAGGGAGAAAGUGGGGGAUCUUCGGACCUCACGCUAUCAGAUGAGCCUAGGUCGGAUUAGCUAGUUGGUGGGGUAAAGGCCUACCAAGGCGACGAUCCGUAACUGGUCUGAGAGGAUGAUCAGUCACACUGGAACUGAGACACGGUCCAGACUCCUACGGGAGGCAGCAGUGGGGAAUAUUGGACAAUGGGCGAAAGCCUGAUCCAGCCAUGCCGCGUGUGUGAAGAAGGUCUUCGGAUUGUAAAGCACUUUAAGUUGGGAGGAGGGGCAGUAAGUUAAUACCUUGCUGUUUUGACGUUACCAACCGAAUAAGCACCGGCUAACUUCGUG